Molecule: ribosomal RNA, 331 nt
Filed under: uncultured bacterium
Lineage: Bacteria
Description: bacterial SSU rRNA
Rfam family: Bacterial small subunit ribosomal RNA
Source: RNAcentral
UUAAGUCAGAGGUGAAAUCCCAUAGCUUAACUCUGGAACUGCCAUUGAUACUGUUCAUCUUGAGUAUGAUUGAGGAAAGCGGAAUUUCUAGUGUAGCGGUGAAAUGCGUAGAUAUUACAAAGAACACCCAUGGCGAAGGCAGCUUUCUGGAUCAUUACUGACGCUGAUGAACGAAAGCAUGGGGAGCGAACAGGAUUAGAUACCCUGGUAGUCCAUGCCGUAAACGAUGUGCGCUAGACGUUGGAAAUUUAUUUUCAGUGUCGCAGGGAAACCGAUAAACACACCGCCUGGGGAGUACGACCGCAAGGAUUGAAACUCAAAUGAAUUGACG